Non-coding RNA from Bacillus pumilus SAFR-032, 110 nucleotides. Lineage: Bacteria; Bacillati; Bacillota; Bacilli; Caryophanales; Bacillaceae. The record is from Rfam.
AGAUUCUUUAAAACAGUCCAGAGAGGCUGAGAAGGAUAACGGAUCAAUUUGUGCACGUGUAUGCACAAAUGAACGCCCCUCUCUGCCCUUUGCAGAAGGGGCUUUUUAUU